GAUGAACGCUGGCGGCGUGCCUAAUACAUGCAAGUCGAGCGAAUGGAUUAAGAGCUUGCUCUUAUGAAGUUAGCGGCGGACGGGUGAGUAACACGUGGGUAACCUGCCCAUAAGACUGGGAUAACUCCGGGAAACCGGGGCUAAUACCGGAUAACAUUUUGAACCGCAUGGUUCGAAAUUGAAAGGCGGCUUCGGCUGUCACUUAUGGUUGGACCCGAGUCGCAUUAGCUAGUUGGUGAGGUAACGGCGCACCAAGGCAACGAUGCGUAGCCGACCUGAGAGGGUGAUCGGCCACACUGGGACGGAGACACGGCCCAGACUCCUACGGGAGGCAGCAGUAGGGAAUCUUCCGCAAUGGACGAAAGUCUGACGGAGCAACGCCGCGUGAGUGAUGAAGGCUUUCGGGUCGUAAAACUCUGUUGUUAGGGAAGAACAAGUGCUAGUUGAAUAAGCUGGCACCUUGACGGUACCUAACCAGAAAGCCACGGCUAACUACGUGCCAGCCGCCGCCGUAA
RNAcentral lists this ribosomal RNA (515 nucleotides) under uncultured bacterium. Its description in RNAcentral is "partial 16S ribosomal RNA". It matches the Rfam family "Bacterial small subunit ribosomal RNA", at positions 28 to 523 of the family's 1533-position model. The record is from RNAcentral.